Molecule: microRNA, 22 nt
Filed under: Pongo pygmaeus (Bornean orangutan)
Lineage: Eukaryota; Metazoa; Chordata; Mammalia; Primates; Hominidae
Also listed under: 1 other name
Description: ppy-miR-1200
Source: miRBase by way of RNAcentral
CUCCUGAGCCAUUCUGAGCCUC